Molecule: transfer RNA, 79 nt
Rfam family: tRNA
About the family: Transfer RNA (tRNA) molecules are approximately 80 nucleotides in length.
Source: Rfam
GGUCCGCUGGCUCAAUGGCAGAGCGUCUGACUACGAUGAUGUAAUCAGGAGGUUCCAGGUUCGACCCCUGGGUGGAUCG